UGGAUGAUGUGGAUUAAUUCGAUGCAACGCGAAGAACCUUACCUACCCUUGACAUGUCCGGAACUUGCCAGAGAUGGCUUGGUGCCCGAAAGGGAAUCGGAACACAGGUGCUGCAUGGCUGUCGUCAGCUCGUGUCGUGAGAUGUUGGGUUAAGUCCCGCAACGAGCGCAACCCUUAUCAUUAGUUGCUACGCAAGGGCACUCCAAUGAGACUGCCGGUGACAAACCGGAGGAAGGUGGGAUGACGUCAAGUCCUCAUGGCCCUUAUGGGUAGGGCUUCACACGUCAUACAAUGGUCGGCACAGAGGGUUGCCAAGCCGCGAGGCGGAGCCAAUCCCACAAAGCCGAUCGUAGUCCGGAUUGUUCUCUGCAACUCGAGAGCAUGAAGUCGGAAUCGCUAGUAAUCGCAGGUCAGCAUACUGCGGUGAAUACGUUCCCGGGUCUU
RNAcentral lists this ribosomal RNA (444 nucleotides) under uncultured Thiobacillus sp. RNAcentral's name for it is "bacterial SSU rRNA". It matches the Rfam family "Bacterial small subunit ribosomal RNA", at positions 933 to 1382 of the family's 1533-position model. The record is from RNAcentral. Lineage: Bacteria; Pseudomonadati; Pseudomonadota; Betaproteobacteria; Nitrosomonadales; Thiobacillaceae.